GGCUCUCAUGCUGUCCUUCUCCUAGGCGUCUGACAGUGGCCACCACGGCUCAGGGAGAGGUCUCAAGCCUCGUGACCAGUACCCAGAAACCAGUUCCACAAGUCCCUGUGGGGGACCGCCUCCUUUAUCAGCAGCCACUGGAUGUCUACCUUUGAGGACCCUGCUGAACAAAAGCAUUCUCUUCUCCAGCAUCCAGGGUGGUGACCCCUCACACGGAUGUGUUUGGUUUCCCUGUUAGAGCAUGAAUUCCUUCAGGCUGUUUUCCAGUUGAUACGUUCCGAGUUUCUGCACAGAGGCUCCCAAGAACCACACACAGGCACUGGAAGAUCAGGACCUGCUGACACCGCUCCUGGCCCAGGGGUUCUGUGUUCUCAGCAGGAGGGUCGGUCUGGCUUUGAGCCAUACACUGCCUCUCCCAUCACUGACCCCUGUUAGCACCUUGCUUGCUGGCGGCAGGGCAGGGGGCUGCCAGCACUUUUCAGAGAGGAGAGAGAAGGCUGAGCAAAACAUCUGUUGUCCUCAGAAAGAGUCCCACCAGCCAAGGGACGCUAUGCCAGGCUUCUUCCCCAGGGACAGAGGCACUGGGGAGGGUGAUGGGGAGCCCCCACUUGCUGGCCUGCAGGGACAAGGGUCAGCUCACCUCUAUCUGGCUAACCCUUUGAGGGGAAAGGCAUUGAAGCGGCUUCGAAGAAGAAACCCUUGGAACAUUCUCCAGAUCACAGGCUGGGAUGCAGCCGGCAGCCUGGGAAAAAGAUGCAUACAGAGGUGUUUGUCUAAAACAGAAUUAAAAUCUUAUGUAGGGCUUUCCGGGUGGCUCAGUGCUAAAGAAUCUGUCUGCCAGUCCUGGAGACACAGGUUCGAUCCCUAGUUGGGGAAGAUCACACAGGCUGAGAAGCAACUAAGUCUGUGUGCCACAUAUACGGAGCCCACGUGCUGCCAACUACUGAAGCCCGCACGCCCUGGAGCCUGUGCUCCACAAGAGAAGCCACUGCAAUGAGAAGCUGAAGCACUGUACCUGGAGAGUAGCCCCCAUUCAGCAC
This is a long non-coding RNA of Bos taurus (domestic cattle), 1040 nucleotides long. NCBI's taxonomy places the organism in Eukaryota, Metazoa, Chordata, Mammalia, Artiodactyla, Bovidae. The record is from Ensembl.